GACGAACGCUGGCGGCGUGCUUAACACAUGCAAGUCGAACGGAAAGGCCCUGCUUUUGUGGGGUGCUCGAGUGGCGAACGGGUGAGUAACACGUGAGUAACCUGCCCUUGACUUUGGGAUAACUUCAGGAAACUGGGGCUAAUACCGGAUAGGAGCUCCUGCUGCAUGGUGGGGGUUGGAAAGUUUCGGCGGUUGGGGAUGGACUCGCGGCUUAUCAGCUUGUUGGUGGGGUAGUGGCUUACCAAGGCUUUGACGGGUAGCCGGCCUGAGAGGGUGACCGGCCACAUUGGGACGGAGAUACGGCCCAGACUCCUACGGGAGGCAGCAGUGGGGAAUAUUGCACAAUGGGCGGAAGCCUGAUGCAGAAACGCCGCGUGCGGGAUGACGGCCUUCGGGUUGUAAACCGCUUUCGCCUGUGACGAAGCGUGAGUGACGGUAAUGGGUAAAGAAGCACCGGCUAACUACGU
Molecule: ribosomal RNA, 467 nt
Filed under: uncultured bacterium
Lineage: Bacteria
Description: partial 16S ribosomal RNA
Rfam family: Bacterial small subunit ribosomal RNA
Source: RNAcentral